UUCCGGUUGAUCCUGCCGGACCCGACUGCUAUUUGGGUGAGAAUAAGCCAUGCGAGUUGAAUGGGAUACCUAAAGUUCCCAUAGCAAACUGCUCAGUAACACAUGAUCAACUUACCCUAUAGAGAAAAAUAACCUCGGGAAACUGAGGAUAAUGUUUCACAAUUGAAUUGGCUUGGAAAAGUUUUUCAAUGAAAAGGAUAAAAAAAAUGGUUUUUAUCUGCUAUAGGAUAGGAUCGUGUUCGAUUAUGGUUGUUGGUGAGAUAAUGGCUCACCAAGCCGAUAAUCGAUAGGGGCCGUGAGAGCGGGAGCCCCGAGAUGGGUACUGAGACAACGACCCAGGCCUUACGAGGCGCAGCAGGCGCGGAACCUCCGCAAUACACGAAAGUGUGACGGGGUUACCCAAAGUGUUCAAUAGAACUGUGGUAGGUGAGUAAUGUCCCCUACUAGAAAGGAGAGGGCAAGGCUGGUGCCAGCCGCCGCGGUAAAACCAGCUCUUCAAGUGGUCGGGAUAAUUAUUGGGCUUAAAGUGUCCGUAGCCGGUUUAGUAAGUUCCUGGUAAAAUCGGGUAGCUUAACUAUCUGCAUGCUAGGAAUACUGCUAUACUAGAGGGCGGGAGAGGUCUGAGGUACUACAGGGGUAGGGGUGAAAUCUUAUAAUCCUUGUAGGACCACCAGUGGCGAAGGCGUCAGACUGGAACGCGCCUGACGGUGAGGGACGAAAGCCAGGGGAGCGAACCGGAUUAGAUACCCGGGUAGUCCUGGCCGUAAACGAUGCAUACUAGGUGAUGGUACGGCCAUGAGCCGUAUCAGUGCCGUAGGGAAACCGUUAAGUGUGCCGCCUGGGAAGUACGGUCGCAAGGCUAAAACUUAAAGGAAUUGGCGGGGGAGCACCACAAAGGGUGAAGCCUGCGGGUUCAAUUGGAUUCAACGCCGGAAAUCACUAGUGCGGCC
RNAcentral lists this ribosomal RNA (950 nucleotides) under uncultured archaeon. Its description in RNAcentral is "bacterial SSU rRNA". It matches the Rfam family "Archaeal small subunit ribosomal RNA", at positions 1 to 940 of the family's 1478-position model. The record is from RNAcentral.